Molecule: transfer RNA, 74 nt
Filed under: Candidatus Altarchaeales archaeon HGW-Altarchaeales s-1
Lineage: Archaea; Nanobdellati; Candidatus Altarchaeota; Candidatus Altarchaeia; Candidatus Altarchaeales
Also listed under: 1 other name
Description: Candidatus Altiarchaeales archaeon HGW-Altiarchaeales-1 tRNA-Met
Rfam family: tRNA
About the family: Transfer RNA (tRNA) molecules are approximately 80 nucleotides in length.
Source: RNAcentral
GCCGAGGUAGCUCAGUUGGUUGGAGCGCCAGACUCAUAAUCUGGAGGUCGUGUGUUCAAGUCACGCCCUCGGCA